AUACUAACCAGUGACCGAUAGUGAACCAGUACCGUGAGGGAAAGGUGAAAAGAACCCCGGGAGGGGAGUGAAAGAGAACCUGAAACCGUGUGCCUACAAGUAGUCAGAGCCCGUUAACGGGUAAUGGCGUGCCUUUUGUAGAAUGAACCGGCGAGUUGCGUUAGUCAGCAAGGUUAAGUCAGAAAAGACGGAGCCGUAGCGAAAGCGAGUCUGAAGAGGGCGAACACGUAAGUUGAAAAUUGCGGGGAUGAGUUGUGGGUAGCGGUGAAAUUCCAAACGAACUUGGAGAUAGCUGGUUCUCUCCGAAAUAGCUUUAGGGCUAGCCUCGCAAAGAGGAUGCUGGAGGUAGAGCUCUGUUUGGACUAGGGGCCCGUCAAGGGUUACUGAAUUCAGAUAAACUGCGAAUUCCAGACAUUUAUGUGCGGGAGUCAGACUGCGAGUGAUAAGAUCCGUAGUCGAAAGGGAAACAGCCCAGAUCACCAGUUAAGGUCCCAAAAUUCAUGCUAAGUGGAAAAGGAUGUGGAGUUGCGCAGACAACUAGGACGUUGGCUCAGAAGCAGCCAUCAUUCAAAGAGUGCGUAAUAGCUCACUAGUCGAGUGACGCCGCGCCGAAAAUUUACCGGGGCUAAGCAUGAUACCGAAACUGUGGAUGUGCAUUUAUGCACGUGGUAGGAGAGCGUUCUAGCGGCGGUGAAGCAUGACCGAGAGGACAUGUGGAGCUUCUAGAAGUGAGAAUGCCGGUAUGAGUAACGAAAGACAGGUGAGAAUCCUGUCCGCCGCAAGACUAAGGUUUCCUGGGGCAGGCUCGUCCGCCCAGGGUAAGUCGGGACCUAAGGCGAGGCCGAGAGGCGUAGUCGAUGGACAACAGGUUGAAAUUCCUGUACUGCACCGAAUCGUUAUGAGCGAUGGAGGGACGCAGGAGGCUAGCAGCGCGUGGUGCUGGAUACCACGUUCAAGCGUCAAGUCUGAGAGCGAGUCAAAUGCUUGCUCUCAUAAGGACAAGGCGUGAUGAGGAGCGAAAUUAAAGUAGCGAAGGCUGCGACGUCACACUGCCGAGAAAAGCUUCUAGCCAGAGACGGUGCACCCGUACCGCAAACCGACACAGGUAGUCGAGGAGAGUAUCCUCAGGUGAGCGAGAGAACUCUCGUUAAGGAACUCGGCAAAAUGGCCCCGUAACUUCGGGAGAAGGGGCGCUGGUCGCAAGAUCAGCCGCAGUGAAAAGGCCCAAGCAACUGUUUAUCAAAAACACAGGCAUCUGCAAAAUCGUAAGAUGAAGUAUAGGUGCUGACACCUGCCCGGUGCUGGAAGGUUAAGAGGAGAGCUUAGCGCAAGCGAAGGUUUGAAUUGAAGCCCCAGUAAACGGCGGCCGUAACUAUAACGGUCCUAAGGUAGCGAAAUUCCUUGUCGGGUAAGUUCCGACCUGCACGAAAGGUGUAAUGAUUUGGGCACUGUCUCAACGAGAGACUCGGUGAAAUUAUAAUACCCGUGAAGAUGCGGGUUACCCGCGACAGGACGGAAAGACCCCAUGGAGCUUUACUGCAGUUUAAUAUUGGGUAUCUGUCAAGCAUGUACAGGAUAGGUAGGAGCCGGAGAAGAUAGGACGCCAGUCUUAUC
Molecule: ribosomal RNA, 1614 nt
Filed under: Lactobacillus delbrueckii subsp. bulgaricus
Lineage: Bacteria; Bacillati; Bacillota; Bacilli; Lactobacillales; Lactobacillaceae
Description: partial 23S ribosomal RNA
Rfam family: Bacterial large subunit ribosomal RNA
Source: RNAcentral